This 84-nucleotide transfer RNA is filed under the name Paenibacillus glacialis. RNAcentral describes it as "tRNA-Leu". It matches the Rfam family "tRNA". From Rfam's summary of the family: Transfer RNA (tRNA) molecules are approximately 80 nucleotides in length. Their secondary structure includes four short double-helical elements and three loops (D, anti-codon, and T loops). Lineage: Bacteria; Bacillati; Bacillota; Bacilli; Caryophanales; Paenibacillaceae. The record is from RNAcentral.
GCGGUCGCGGCGGAAUUGCUAGACGCGCUAGAUUCAGGUUCUAGUGGUGUAACAACGGAGGAGGUUCGAGUCCUCUUGGAUGCA